This is a long non-coding RNA of Bombina bombina (fire-bellied toad), 651 nucleotides long. RefSeq lists it as uncharacterized. The record is from RefSeq and is a predicted model, not a curated record. Lineage: Eukaryota; Metazoa; Chordata; Amphibia; Anura; Bombinatoridae. The transcript has 2 exons.
UAGAGGGUUUAAAAGGCUGCAGUCUGACAUUUGAAUUUAGAGCUUAACAAAGAAACCUAAUGUUUUGAAACGCGUUGCUCAUUUUACCUAGCUCCUAUAUUUUGGAGUGUUUUGUUUUAGAUUGGCGUUAUAACCGUUAAGGUGAGGACUGCAGUACUUGACCACGAUAAGUAGGUCUUGGGUAUUUGUUUUAAGAAACAACUUGUACCUGUAAAAGCAAACUGCAGUACUUCACCGGGUUCCUGAGCCAUUUUCCUUUUAAGUUAACUGUGUGUAAGCACUCUGUUUUCCUGAGUUGCAGAGACUGAACGAUACCCUCGGUGGUUGGUGCACGGCACGGAGCAGUGCUUACAUUUCCGGAGGCCGGAUUCCUGAUACCUAAUAUGAGCGAAGUACCAUCGGCUACGUUAAUUUGCCUAUUCGGAACGGCUUGGUGCACAGACCUGUUUUGUGGUUCCAUUUACCGACAAGCUGAAGGCAUUCAUCGUUCUGGACUUCAUCUGACACACAAACUUUUUUGGGUGCUUGUUAGUACCUAUGUAUAUGUCUUUUAAUGUUUAAUCUUUUAACAUGUAUUAUAUAUGUGCUUGUUAAUAGGUCGACCUACUAAUCUUUUUUGUCAGUAAAUAAAUGUUAUUGUAUUUUAACGCA